AUGGUCUGUUAUGUUCUGUUCUAUAGAAUCACACUGCUGCAUCCUUUAUCAAGGCAAGCACUUAAAUCUGGUUGAUGCAUUCUGACCUCUGGGCCAGAGUGUGAUUAAUGGUUAUGAUACUCCUGAUGCGAGGAAUCCAACAGCUAUAGAGGACUGUUCCAUUGCAGCCUUGCAGGGUGACCCAGUGGUUGCCUGUCAGACU
Molecule: small nucleolar RNA, 202 nt
Filed under: Aegilops tauschii subsp. strangulata
Lineage: Eukaryota; Viridiplantae; Streptophyta; Magnoliopsida; Poales; Poaceae
Description: snoRNA Plant_U3
Source: RNAcentral